GAUGAAGAACGCAGCGAAAUGCGAUAAGUAAUGUGAAUUGCAGAAUUCAGUGAAUCAUCGAAUCUUUGAACGCACAUUGCGCCCGCUGGUAUUCCGGCGGGCAUGCCUGUUCGAGCGUCAUUUCAACCCUCAAGCCCCCGGGUUUGGUGUUGGGGAUCGGCUCUGCCCUUCUGGGCGGUGCCGCCCCCGAAAUACAUUGGCGGUCUCGCUGCAGCCUCCAUUGCGUAGUAGCUAACACCUCGCAACUGGAACGCGGCGCGGCCAUGCCGUGAAACCCCAACUUCUGAAUGUUGACCUCGGAUCAGGUAGGAAUACCCGCUGAACUUAAGCAUAUCAAUAAGCGGAGGA
This 348-nucleotide unclassified non-coding RNA is filed under the name soil metagenome. Its description in RNAcentral is "partial contains 5.8S ribosomal RNA, internal transcribed spacer 2, and large subunit ribosomal RNA". The stretch from base 1 to 120 matches the Rfam family "5.8S ribosomal RNA", at positions 35 to 154 of the family's 154-position model. The record is from RNAcentral.